This 2234-nucleotide long non-coding RNA is filed under the name Cricetulus griseus (Chinese hamster). RNAcentral describes it as "lncRNA (ENSCGRG00015032190.1)". The record is from RNAcentral. Lineage: Eukaryota; Metazoa; Chordata; Mammalia; Rodentia; Cricetidae.
CUUUGCUGCUUGCUGUACAGACCGAUACCACGCUGGCUGGCUAGGUUGCUCUGCUAGCCAAGAUGUAUCUGCCUUCAGCUGGGCUGGAUUCAGGCUUCAGGUUUUGUCCAGGUCCACUGCAACAGCCUCAGUUUUGCUGUGUCUAUGGCAUGUCUGUAGCCUAAGGCAUACUUUCUGCAUGGUGAUGGCAGAAGUAGAAGGUGAAAUCUCAUUGGCCCAAGGCUUCUCUGUAUGGGCUAGUUGGAGUUUCCAAACAGCUUGGUGGACUGAGAAUUGUCACACUGUGCACAAGGCAGGGUACAACUCUUGCACAGUUGUAGCCAGAGAACCAACUAAAGGUACCCAUAUUCUACCAUGAGCCUUGGGAAUUGCCCAGCAUUACUUCUUCAGUGUACGCUGGAACAACUGUAAACCUGCCCAAUUUCAAUGGGAAGGAAUGUGGAUUCCAACUCUCAAAGGUAUAGAUCAACAAUGCUCACUUUACAUCUGUGAUUACAGCUCAGACCACUCAGACAGAUGGAUAAGAGCAAAGUGUAAUCGAAAGCUGGCCCUUCCUCCUGCAGCCCUUUCAUUUAGAGAUCUUCUGGACACUGGCUGUAGUUCAUUAACUCCCUCCUCCUCAAGACACCAUUACUCUCUGCCCUGGACAUAAUCAACAAAGGCUCAGGGAGAAUGAGCAAGAGGCUGAGGUGGAGGCAUUAGCUGCCAGAAGCGCAACUUGAAGACCCAAUUCCCCCGAGGCCAGGUGUAAGGGACUGGGCUAGCUAUUCCAAAUUGCUUCCCAAGAGCCAUGAACCAGACUCACUGAACUCCAACCCUUUCUGAGUCUGCCUCCAACUAGUCACACCUGAUGUAUUACUGCCUCCCACUCCUCUUUUCUUUCUUUGUUUUUCUUUUCUUUAAGAGUUAUCAUGCCAUUUUCAUCCUUUGCUAUCUGGAAAGCAAGUAUGUUAUUUUUUAAAAAGUACAGUAUAGUAUUUAUUUGCAAGCAUAUCAUUGGAAACAACAAGUCUGAUCAUAACUAAAGUAUUUUCUCAUAGUAAUUCAAAGCUACUAUUAUAGACACAAACUCAUCACAGAUGUGAUUACCUAAGAUGAGAUGAUGGUAGUAGGGGUCACUCAUCCAAUAUGACUGGUGCCUUACAAAGGAGAAACUGGAACACAGGCAUGAGCACAGUGAGACCACCAAGGGAAGAGAGAAGGCAGGCUGCUGUAAGCCAAGGAAUUACCAGAAGCCAGGAGAGCUGGUGCCUGCCAAGAAAACAUGGCUCUGCUGAGACCUUGAUUUUUGGGCUUCUGGCCUUUACAACUAAAACAAUACGUUUCUGUCACACUAAACCACCUGGUUUGUGGUACUUUUGGAUACUUUGGAAACCCUCAGAAACCAAAAGUCAGCCUGUCUGCAAAGCUCCCAGCCUUCAUAACUUCACCAUUCCCCAAGCCUGCCUGCUUAGAGUCUAAGAAAGUAGAGUGCACUGAGUGAUGGGGAGAAGCUGGGCAUCUGGCAUGUUGUUCUGUAGUGGGGGGAGGGGAGAAGGGGAAGAACAAAGGGAGAGAGAGAGACUUUGGCACGGCCUGACUGUGGUUCAGGUCAGGCCUUGGCAGGGCAAUGCAGGAAGGGACAGGAUGAGACUCAACCUUUGUGGUCCUUCCAGCUCCUUGAUGCAGAGGCCCCAUUUGUCCUUCUAUGUGAGCCCCUGAACUGCUGCCACCUCCAAAUGAAGGACACAGACAUGCAGGAGAGGGAUAUGGCUUCCAAGUUCCCUAGCUCCCAGCCUGCCUGCCUCACUGAAGACAGAUGAAGAAGCAGAUGUAGGCUAGGAGGUGAGCAUCAGGCUUCAUGUGGCAUCUCCUGCAGAGCCUUGACUGACAUGAAAGGAGAUGGGUGAGGACUUCAGGUAAUACUGGCAGCCAUCCCACUGGAAAACACAAACACAUCCAUCUGAACAUUUGCAAAUAAAAUGGGGGUCUCUGGUGUACAGCAGCAUGAACAUGCUGAGUAUGGGACUCUGAUGGGAGGACUAGAAGCUGUUGUGCCUCAAAGCACAAGUGACACAUUGUUCAAUUCCUUCCACUACCCACCCAAAAGUAAAAAGGACUUCUGGCUGCAUGGGUCCUGUCUCAUUCUUCUAUCAGUCCUGUUUCUCCAGCCUCUCUUUCAGCCUGCCUCAGUGGACACUUCAGGCCUAAAGCUCUGAAUGUAUGGGAAGGCUGUGUGGUCAUGAGAAACAGCA